Long non-coding RNA from Raphanus sativus (radish), 1410 nucleotides. RefSeq lists it as uncharacterized. The transcript is spliced from 8 exons. Lineage: Eukaryota; Viridiplantae; Streptophyta; Magnoliopsida; Brassicales; Brassicaceae. The record is from RefSeq and is a predicted model, not a curated record.
AGUUAGCCAUCGUGUGUGGAGCUCGUGGGUAGCUUCGUGUGUGCUUGGGUGAUCAAGCUUGGUGUCAUUGCUGUGCGUUAGGUGCUGACGUACUUGGUGAAGUACUUCCGAGAAGUGGAAGAUCGAAGCCUAGACUCAGGGGGAGUUUAGCAAAGGAGGUUUCAUUGAAGAGGUCUGUGAAGAUUGCAGCUGUAGAAGACAGUGUGCUAUGGCGUGUCCGGAUGGGAUCCGUUGUAUUCCUAAUCUUUGUAGAUUGCUCCUUAGAAAAGAGUGGUAGACACUCGUGUGUGUUGUACCAUAUAGCAAUUGUAGGUUGCUCCUUGUUCUAAGUCAAUGAAAUCUAGACGAGGUCCCGGGAAUGUAGGAAACGAACCCCGUUAACAAACUUUGUGUCUAUUUUACUUUCUGCACUAGUUUCUCUGCCCUCACUAUAUUAACAGAGGUCAUGUGCCACUCCCGACGUCGAAGCUUCAACGCGCCGCCCCUAAUCGAUCAGGUUUUUCGCUUGAUGUGCCAGUCGUGGAUGUUAGAUGUGAGUUGUUAGAUGUGAGCAGUAGGAGGCACAUAUCCAGCAGACGAGUGUUUGUAGAGGUAUUGGGAAUAAAAACAAAUACGAGCAUUUCUUUCUCUCUACUCGACUUUAAGAAAUAGCUUCAGCAGGAGUCUUUCGUUUCUCUUGUGUAUGGUCUAAGGAACAGAGUGCAGAUCGACCAACCUUCUGGAUUCCAACAAUGUCUGAUUGAAAGCGGUUAACAAUGAGUCUAUGACCUAUGCGGAGAAACAAAAUAGUUAAAUAGACUAUGAAAAACUUUGCUUUCAAUUAAUGAGAAGGAACAGUUGAAGAUGAAUAAUGGUAAAUGCCUCAACUGGUCUAUACAAAAGAUGCACUCGGCAUGAAGAAUAGACUUCAAAUUAAGCGUAACUGAGCAAAGGCCUGACAUUCACUCUCAGCAUAACGUACGAGUUCUACUGGAUCUCUAUCUAUCCCCCUGAAGAGUUUGUCGUUCUUAGCCUUCUAGAUAUACCAGAUUAUCCAAGGAUAAGAAUCUCUAUCCUGUUCAGAUUUUUGCAGAUCAUCAUCGUUCGUCAGAUCUAUGUUUCCGAAAUUCAGGUAUAAGUUUGAUUCUCCUCUUUGAACUGGUGGUAUACUCGAUGGUGUUCAUGUGAAGUAUGUUGCUUUCUCACGUGAGAGCUUCCAGAAGUUAUCAAAGAGUCAGAUUUUAACUAUGAGAUGUCAAGCAUGUGAUUCCACAAAGACUUUAAUUCAAUCAGGGUGCUUAAUGUGUAUGCAUUUGGAGGGAGCGGAGUGAUUAAUAAUGUGAAUCAUUCCAACCAGCGGUUCAGGAACUUCAGCUUAUGUACGCCAAAGAAGAUUGUUUCUUUUGAAUGUAUAAUUAUGUACAAAUUGUA